GGGGGUUUAGCUCAGUUGGUAGAGCGUUCGCUUUGCAUGCGAAAUGUCGCGUGUUCGACUCAUGCAGUCUCCA
Molecule: transfer RNA, 73 nt
Filed under: Pseudozyma hubeiensis SY62
Lineage: Eukaryota; Fungi; Basidiomycota; Ustilaginomycetes; Ustilaginales; Ustilaginaceae
Description: tRNA-Ala (TGC) (tRNA-Ala-TGC-2-1)
Rfam family: tRNA
About the family: Transfer RNA (tRNA) molecules are approximately 80 nucleotides in length. Their secondary structure includes four short double-helical elements and three loops (D, anti-codon, and T loops). Further hydrogen bonds mediate the characteristic L-shaped molecular structure. tRNAs have two regions of fundamental functional importance: the anti-codon, which is responsible for specific mRNA codon recognition, and the 3' end, to which the tRNAs corresponding amino acid is attached (by aminoacyl-tRNA synthetases). tRNAs cope with the degeneracy of the genetic code in two manners: having more than one tRNA (with a specific anti-codon) for a particular amino acid; and 'wobble' base-pairing, i.e. permitting non-standard base-pairing at the 3rd anti-codon position.
Source: RNAcentral